RNAcentral lists this ribosomal RNA (253 nucleotides) under uncultured bacterium. RNAcentral's name for it is "partial 16S ribosomal RNA". It matches the Rfam family "Bacterial small subunit ribosomal RNA", at positions 524 to 776 of the family's 1533-position model. The record is from RNAcentral.
UACGAAGGGGGCUAGCGUUGCUCGGAAUUACUGGGCGUAAAGCGUGCGCAGGCGGCUUUGCAAGACAGAUGUGAAAUCCCCGGGCUUAACCUGGGAACUGCAUUUGUGACUGCAUGGCUCGAGUGCGGCAGAGGGGGAUGGAAUUCCGCGUGUAGCAGUGAAAUGCGUAGAUAUGCGGAGGAACACCGAUGGCGAAGGCAAUCCCCUGGGCCUGCACUGACGCUCAUGCACGAAAGCGUGGGGAGCAAACAGG